CCUACGGGAGGCAGCAGUAAGGAAUAUUGGACAAUGGCCGCAAGGCUGAUCCAGCCAUGCCGCGUGCAGGAUGAAGGUGCUCUGCAUUGUAAACUGCUUUUGUUUGGGAAUAAACCCUUCUACGUGUAGAAGGUUGAAUGUACCAAAAGAAUAAGGGACGGCUAACUUCGUGCCAGCAGCCGCGGUAAUACGAAGGUCCCGAGCGUUAUCCGGAUUUAUUGGGUUUAAAGGGUGCGUAGGCGGGUUAUUAAGUCAGUGGUGAAAGCCUUCAGCUCAACUGAAGAAUUGCCAUUGAUACUGAUGAUCUUGAGUAUGAUUGAGGUGGGCGGAAUGUGUCAUGUAGCGGUGAAAUGCUUAGAUAUGACACAGAACACCGAUUGCGAAGGCAGCUCACUAAGUCAUAACUGACGCUGAUGCACGAAGACGGUGGGGAGGACGAAACGAAGGAGUUAAGUAUACCGUACGGUACGUACCGACCGACCCGUAAACCGAACUAGAUACACUACG
This 507-nucleotide ribosomal RNA is filed under the name uncultured bacterium. RNAcentral describes it as "bacterial SSU rRNA". It matches the Rfam family "Bacterial small subunit ribosomal RNA", at positions 338 to 829 of the family's 1533-position model. The record is from RNAcentral.